RNAcentral lists this ribosomal RNA (352 nucleotides) under uncultured bacterium. RNAcentral describes it as "bacterial SSU rRNA". It matches the Rfam family "Bacterial small subunit ribosomal RNA", at positions 794 to 1136 of the family's 1533-position model. The record is from RNAcentral.
UCCUAGCCGUAAACUAUGGGUACUAGGCAAUGGGACAACUUAUGUGUUUCAUUGCCGCAGCUAAUGUGUUAAGUACCCCGCCUGGGGAGUACGCUCGCAAGGGUAAAACUCAAAGGAAUUGACGGGGGAUCACACAAGCAGUGGAGCAUGUUGUUUAAUUCGAAGCAACGCGAAGAACCUUACCAGGCCUUGACAUGCAUGGAUUAGCUUCCUGAAAGGGAAUGACGCCUCUUCGGAGGUGGAACAUGUGCAGGUGUUGCAUGGCUGUCGUCAGCUCGUGCCGUGAGGUGUUGGGUUAAGUCCCGUAACGAGCGAAACCCUUAUUGUUAGUUGCCAGCGGGUUAUGCCGGGG